RNAcentral lists this ribosomal RNA (1346 nucleotides) under uncultured bacterium. Its description in RNAcentral is "partial 16S ribosomal RNA". It matches the Rfam family "Bacterial small subunit ribosomal RNA", at positions 28 to 1381 of the family's 1533-position model. The record is from RNAcentral.
GACGAACGCUGGCGGCGUGCUUAACACAUGCAAGUCGAACGGAAAGGCCCUGCUUUUGUGGGGUGCUCGAGUGGCGAACGGGUGAGUAACACGUGAGUAACCUGCCCUUGACUUUGGGAUAACUUCAGGAAACUGGGGCUAAUACCGGAUAGGAGCUCCUGCUGCAUGGUGGGGGUUGGAAAGUUUCGGCGGUUGGGGAUGGACUCGCGGCUUAUCAGCUUGUUGGUGGGGUAGUGGCUUACCAAGGCUUUGACGGGUAGCCGGCCUGAGAGGGUGACCGGCCACAUUGGGACUGAGAUACGGCCCAGACUCCUACGGGAGGCAGCAGUGGGGAAUAUUGCACAAUGGGCGGAAGCCUGACGCAGCAACGCCGCGUGCGGGAUGACGGCCUUCGGGUUGUAAACCGCUUCCGCCUGUGACGAAGCGUGAGUGACGGUAAUGGGUAAAGAAGCACCGGCUAACUACGUGCCAGCAGCCGCGGUGAUACGUAGGGUGCGAGCGUUGUCCGGAUUUAUUGGGCGUAAAGGGCUCGUAGGUGGUUGAUCGCGUCGGAAGUGUAAUCUUGGGGCUUAACCCUGAGCGUGCUUUCGAUACGGGUUGACUUGAGGAAGGUAGGGGAGAAUGGAAUUCCUGGUGGAGCGGUGGAAUGCGCAGAUAUCAGGAGGAACACCAGUGGCGAAGGCGGUUCUCUGGGCCUUUCCUGACGCUGAGGAGCGAAAGCGUGGGGAGCGAACAGGCUUAGAUACCCUGGUAGUCCACGCUGUAAACGGUGGGUACUAGGUGUGGGGUCCAUUCCACGGGUUCCGUGCCGUAGCUAACGCUUUAAGUACCCCGCCUGGGGAGUACGGCCGCAAGGCUAAAACUCAAAGGAAUUGACGGGGCCCCGCACAAGCGGCGGAGCAUGCGGAUUAAUUCGAUGCAACGCGUAGAACCUUACCUGGGUUUGACAUGGAUCGGGAGUGCUCAGAGAUGGGUGUGCCUCUUUUGGGGUCGGUUCACAGGUGGUGCAUGCCUGUCGUCAGCUCGUGUCGUGAGAUGUUGGGUUAAGUCCCGCAACGAGCGCAACCCUUGUUCACUGUUGCCAGCACGUUAUGGUGGGGACUCAGUGGAGACCGCCGGGGUCAACUCGGAGGAAGGUGGGGAUGACGUCAAGUCAUCAUGCCCCUUAUGUCCAGGGCUUCACGCAUGCUACAAUGGCUGGUACAGAGAGUGGCGAGCCUGUGAGGGUGAGCGAAUCUCGGAAAGCCGGUCUCAGUUCGGAUUGGGGUCUGCAACUCGACCUCAUGAAGUCGGAGUCGCUAGUAAUCGCAGAUCAGCAACGCUGCGGUGAAUACGUUCCCGGGGCU